Molecule: ribosomal RNA, 488 nt
Filed under: uncultured bacterium
Lineage: Bacteria
Description: partial 16S rRNA
Source: RNAcentral
CGAGCCAGUUCCGCGGGGCUUGCACUUUGAUUACCGUCGCUAACGGCCACCCCUGAGGUUCGUCCCGGGCAAGGGAUUUUUCUGGCCGAAGGGCCUCCUCCCAAUUACGGUCGAUCUGCGGGGAAUCUCGGAUUUGCGCAAGAUUCCCCCCUGCUGCUCCCGUAGGAGUCUGGGCCGUCUCUCAAUCCCAGUGGGAGUGGCCAUCGUCUCGUACCCCCUUUCCGUCGCGCCCUUGGUAGCUGAUGCCCCCACCAACCGUUUGAUAGGCCGCGAGCCCUUCUCGUCACGAACCGAGUUGCCCCCCUCCUUUCCUCCCCCGACAAUGCCCCCGAACUGAAUUAUGCGGUAUUACCCGGAAGUUGUGCCGGCUAUCCCGCACUCCACGGAACGUACCUCACGUGUAACCCACCCGUUCGCCGGUGAGAGCCCGACUGCCCCAACUUCCCCCCUCGAUUUGCAUGUGUUAAGGACACCGCCAGCGUUAUGCC